CCUCCCUUCACUCACCACCCUCUCUCUCCUCCGCCCACCACCCCUCUUUACUCCCCUCAAGUCGAGAGACUUCUGUGUCUUCUCCGACGAUGACGACGGCGAUGGUAAGUAUGAAAUGGACGAUCUCAAACUUCAGUUCUCUCUCAUCUAUCUCUCUCCCCUCUUUCGAUCGAUCUUUCUGCAUUUCUCAAGUUUGUCGAUUUGUUUGAUCCUUCUAUUUCACGAUUCAAUGAUUCGGCGAUUGGCCUUCACACGACCCUCACAACUCUGCCCUUCUGAUCCUGCAAAUGCCUCCGAUCAGCGGGUGCAGCAUUAAGUCCUAAAUAUGCACACGAUGCCUCUGAGAUGUGGAUGACCGAGGCUGAAAUGGCUUUUCCGAACUAGAGGUUUUAUGCGGUCAGUGGGGAGGUUAAGGAUUUGCAAGUUUCUGGGUUGUUUUUUGCUAUAGGGCAUGAACCGGCUACUAAGUUUUUGGGUGGGCAGCUGGAGUUGGAUGAUGAUGGCUAUGUGGUGACUACACCGGGGACGACGAAGACCAAUGUUAAAGGUAAAAUUCUGUAUUUUUCAAGAUCUGCAAUUGGAAUUUUGUUACCCAUAUGAGAUAAUCUGCUGUGUAUUAUGUAGUUGAUAUUUUUCCAGAUAUAGCUGACCUUUUAUAUAUAAAUGUGAACAUUUGCUUAUUGUUCAUGCUAAAUAAUCUAUAAUUGUGAACAAUUGCUUAUUGUUCAUGCUAAAAUCUGUGUACUGUCUGUGUACAUGACUAGCUCAUAAUAAUUAGAGCAACUGUUACUUUUUUGACAAAUUUUGUUAUUCACAACAACUGAUCAAACCAAACAAUUGGAGCUAUUAGUUAUAACUGGGAGUUUAGGAUAAUUUGUGUAUUGUCUAUGGAUAAUUUCGAGCAUUAGACGGAUAUUGGAGCUAAA
Molecule: long non-coding RNA, 926 nt
Organism: Spinacia oleracea (spinach)
Lineage: Eukaryota; Viridiplantae; Streptophyta; Magnoliopsida; Caryophyllales; Amaranthaceae
Exons: 4
Source: RefSeq, a predicted model, not a curated record